RNA transcript from Hevea brasiliensis (rubber tree), 5891 nucleotides. It is a transcript of the gene named disease resistance protein RPV1, with no coding region annotated. The record is from RefSeq and is a predicted model, not a curated record. The transcript has 9 exons. Lineage: Eukaryota; Viridiplantae; Streptophyta; Magnoliopsida; Malpighiales; Euphorbiaceae.
GUGGGGAUUUAAAAUUAAAUGAAAGAAUAAUUGAAGAAAGAACACAGGCGUUGAACUACUUUUAUCUUCUUCAAUCACAAAGCAGGACUUCUUCACUCGGGGACGUAGUCGGCAGAUCGAAUCGAGCUUUCGCAGGCUUUGACGGAUCGAUCAUACUCCCACUAGAAAUAAUUAAUUCAACUUGCAUUAAAGAGUCAAAUUUUGCAAUCCAAAAGAUUGAAUCACAAGAAGGACCUCCUCCACCCAAAUCAUCUCAGAAUCACUCUGGAGAGCCAUCUUAGCGAAAUGGUGUGCAACCAUAUUAGCAUCUCUUCUUACAAAAUUAGCAUCAUCCACAAUUGAACUCAAGGAACCAGCACUGAGUUUCUAUUUGUUACUGCAGCAAUCAAACCCAAUGAGUCAGAUUCAGCAGGACUAAUUCUUCACUCUCGUGGACGUCGGCGGUGGAUCGAAACGAACAUUCGCAGGCUUUGACGGAUCGAUCAUCCUCCCACUGAGAUCAAAAUAGCCCUUCAUAGAUUUAUUUUUUACCUGUCAAAUAUGGUGUCCACCAUGGCUCAAUGGAAGUAUGAUGUGUUUCUUAGUUUUAGCGGAAAGGAUACACGUGAAAAUUUUACUAGCCAUCUUUACGACGCUUUGUGUCGUAAAAAAAUAAGGGCCUUCAUGGACAAUGAACUUGAAAGAGGAGAAGAAAUAACACCUGCACUUUUGAAAACGAUCGAAGAAUCAAGAAUUUCAGUAAUCAUAUUCUCAGAAAACUAUGCAACUUCUCCAUGGUGCGUGGAUGAAUUGGUGAAAAUACUUGAAUGCAAGCAAACUCAUGGGCAAAUUGUUUUGCCUGUUUUCUACCAUGUAAAUCCAUGUAAUGUAGAAGAACUAAGUGGAAGCUUUGGAAAUGCUUUCCUUGAGCUUGAGAGGAAUUUUAAGGAGAAAAUGGACAAGUUCCCCAGGUGGAGAGCUGACUUCACCAAAGCAGCAAAUAUAUCUGGAUGGGAUUCCUACAUGAUUAGGCCUGAGUCCAAACUAGUGAAUGAAAUUGUGGAACAUAUUUUGAAGAAAUUGAGUUGUGGGUCGUCAAGUGAUUCAAAAGGCAUAGUUGGAAUGGAUUCACGCGUUAGACAAGUUAAAACUUUGUUAUGCACCGGAUUGCCCAUUGUCCGUAUUGUAGGUAUUUGGGGUAUGGGUGGUAUUGGUAAAACAACUAUUGCUGGUGCUAUUUUCAAUACUAUCUCGAGUAGAUAUGAAGGUUCUUGCUUUCUUUCAAAUGUCAGGGAAGAAUCAGAAAAAUGUGGGGGACUAAUCCAUUUAAGAGAAGAACUUCUUUCUAAAAUCUUAGAGGAAGAAAAUCUUCAUAUUAGCACUCCCAGUAUAGGAUCCACUUCUAUAAAGGAAAGGCUUCGACGUAAAAAGGUUUUGGUUGUUCUUGACGAUGUGAAUGAUAUAGCUCAAGUGGAAUUCCUAAUUGGAACACGGGAUAUGUUUGGCCUUGGAAGUAGAGUUAUCAUAACAUCUAGAGAUAGACAAUUGCUUAAGAAUGUAGUUGACGAAAUAUAUGAAGUUGAGGGAUUGAACGAUCAUGGAGCUCUCCAGCUCUUUAGUUUAAAUGCUUUUAAGGAAAACUAUCCCAAAAUGGAUCUUGUAGAGCUAUCAAAGAGGGCUGUGAGUACUGCUCAAGGCAAUCCAUUGGCAGUUAAAGUUUUGGGUUCUCUUUUAUUUGACAGGAGUAAAAGUGAGUGGGAAAGUGCAUUGAACAAACUUGAAAGGGUUCCCCUCCAAAAAAUUCAUAACGUGUUAAGAAUUAGUUAUGAUUUGCUAGAUGAUGAAGAGAAGUGUAUAUUUCUUGAUAUUGCGUGUUUCUUUAAAGGCCAACAAGUUAAUUUCGUAAAAAGUUUACUAGAUGGUUCUGAUAUUGGAAUUAGUGUUCUAGCUGAUAAGUGCCUCAUCACAAUUUCAGAAAACAAGAUAGGGAUGCAUGAUUUGUUGCAAGGGAUGGCUCAUGAAAUUGUUCGCCAAGAAUCAAUUAAUCAGAUAGGAAAACGCAGCAGAUUAUGGAAUCCAAGAGAUGUGUAUCAACUGCUGACCAAAAAUCUGGGAACUGAGAAAGUUGAAGGGAUAUUCUUAGACAUUUCUAACAUAAGAGAAAUGGAGUUGAGUUCUGGAGCCUUUAAUGAGAUGCAUAAUCUUAGAUUGCUCAAAAUUUAUGACUCUGGAGUUGGAAAUAACUGCAAAGUGCACAUUCCUUACGGUCUGGGAUCACUUCCUGAUAAGUUGAGGUAUCUCCAUUGGGAUGGAUUCCCUCUGAAAUCUUUGCCAUCUACUUUUCAGCCAGAGAACCUGGUCAAACUUGACCUCUCUUACGGCAAUGUUCAACAACUGUGGGGAGGAGUACAGAAUAUUGUGAAUUUGAAAGAGAUUAAUCUUAGCAAUUGUGAGAACUUAACUGCAAUUCCAGACCUCUCACUGGCUACAAAUCUUGAGAGAUUGAAUUUUGAUUACUGUACAAGUUUGGUAGAAUUUCCUUCAUCUGUUCAGUAUCUAGACAAGCUUGUUGAGUUGGAUCUUAGUCACUGCACUAGUCUUAUGAGUCUUCCAAGUAGAAUUAAUCUGAGAUCUCUCAAGACUCUUAAGUUUUCUGGCUGCUCAAAUCUUCAGAGGUGUCCAGAAAUUAAAGGGAACUUGACGUAUCUGAAUUUAAAUGGGACUGCAGUAGAAGAACUUUCCCGAUCAAUUGGGUACCUCAGUGGACUUGUUGCAUUGAAUUUGAAGGACUGUAAACAACUUGGGAAUCUUCCAGACAAUGUCUGUUUUAUGAAGUCUCUUAUAAUUGUUGAUAUCUCUGGCUGCUUGAAUGUCACCAGGUUUCCGGAUUUUUCUGAGAAUGUCAGAUAUUUGUACUUAAGUGAUACUGCAAUAGAAGAGCUUCCUUCCUCAAUUGGUUGUCUUCGUAGACUCUCUACUUUGGAUCUAAUGAACUGCAAAAGGCUUAAGAAUCUUCCCUGUACCGUUUCUAAGUUGGCAUCCCUUCAAAAACUUAUUCUCUCUGGCUGCUCAAGUAUCACCAUGUUUCCUGAGGUCUCAAGAAAUAUAAGGGAGUUAUAUUUAGAUGGGACAGCAAUAAAGGAAAUUCCAUCAUCAAUUGAGCCAUUGUCUAAUUUAAUUGAAUUGCAUCUGAGGAACUGUACAGAAUUCGAGACUCUCCCAAGCAGUUUUUGUAAGUUGAAAUCUCUCCAAAAGGUUAAUCUCUCUGGCUGCUCCAAAUUUGAGAAUUUUCCAGAAAUUUUGGAGACUAUGGUUUCAUUGAGAUAUCUAUACUUAGACAGAACAGCCAUAAGAAGGUUACCGUUGCCAAUUAAAAAUCUUCCAGGACUUUCUGUCUUGGAAUUGGGGAACUGCAAAAACCUUGUCAAAAUGCCUGAAUUUUAUAGCAGCUUACCUGACUGGAAUGCAGAUUUAGAAUAUCUGCGGAAGCUAUGCCUAAGUGGUUGUGGUAUAUCACAUGUGCCUUGCACCAUCCGCUGCUUUUCCUCUCUGGAAGUACUGGACUUAAGUGGAAACAAUUUUGAGCAUUUACAUAUAAGCUUUGAGAACUUCCCGGAGCUGCAAUACCUUGGCCUAAGGUCUUGUAAGCGGCUUUUAUCGUUACCAGAGCUUCCACCACGGCUAACAAAAUUAGAUGCAAAUGAUUGCACAUCGCUGAUAAAUGUUUCGACCAAAUCGACUGCAGUUGAGGGGAACAUCUGUGACUUCUUUUUCACCAAUUGUCUCAGUUUAGAUGAGAUUGCUUGCAAUAACAUCAUGGCAUAUGCCCUAUUGAAAAUUCAGAUUUUCACCAAAAGAUUACACAAUCAGAUGUAUUCUGUACCAGCCGGGCCUUCCAGCUUAUGCUUUCCAGGAAGAACAAUUCCAAAAUGGUUUGGGCAUCAAAGUUGGAAAUCUUCAAUAACAAUUGAGCUGCCUUCAUAUUGGGCUAGUAAUGAUUUCUUGGGUUUCACUCUAUGUGCACUUGUUGCAUUUGAUUCGUGUUUUGAUGAAUCCAGUUUCCAAUUUAGAUGCAGUUACCAUUUCAAGAAUAAUUAUGGUGAUUUCCUGGAUCUCCAUUGUGAUUUUGGUGGUUGGUAUGGCUGGAAGGAUAGACGAUUUAUCAAGUCAGAUCAUGUGUUCGUGGGGUUUGAUCCCUGUUUGGACGUCAUGAAAAAUAACAGUUUUGGAAAAUUUAGUGCGGUCAUAAUCAAAUUUUACCCGCAAGAUAUGAACAACAGUCCUUUAAAUUGUUGUAAUGUAAUCGAGUGUGGAGUCCGUCUACUAUAUGACCAAGAUGAGAAAUAUGUUGAUUUUGUUGUGUCACCUAUUCCUUGGUCUCCAGCUAGAAAAAAAAUAAAACCUCUCUCUCUGUCGCAGACAUCUGUGGAUAAAGGAAUGCUUAGUUUUUUAAAUGGAACAUCUCAUCUGCUUGAUGACAGUAAUCAAGAAACUGAGGAAGAAAGGUACAAAGCCAAGAGACGUCGUCAUGACAAGUGUUGUAGUGAGACUGAGCGUAGUAGAAGCACCUUCAAGAAUUACAUGGAAACUAGCACAAAUGACUUGGAGGAAGAAGACCUUAGCCCUCUGUUUGUUUUGAAGGAAACAACUAAAAGUCGUAGGAGUAAACGAAAGAGAAGGAUAGACUUUGCCGGAUGGAAAUAAACAAGGAAAGACCAACAACCUUCCUUUUUGUUUCCAGACACACAGGGAAAGGAAAAGGUGAGCUCAAAGGACUGUUCAUUUGGAUCUUCCAUUCUUGCUUUUAAGUCAAUGUGCAUCAACCUCAUAGAAAAAUCAUCAGAACCCAUAUUCCAUCUUUGCAAACCACUCUAAAUCACAUUAGAAAGCAUUGGAAUGGUUGUUGAUUCCACCAUCAAUGAAUGUGCAGACCAGGAAACUGUAGCAAAAUUUCUGAUCAAGAGAUUUUGGUUGGAUUUCAACAAUAAAGUUUAAAAUUUGAGAAGAAUUUGGCACUUGUUUUAACUUCUUCUCCAUGUUUGUUAUUGGUGUUGGUAUUGGGUGUGAAUCAUGCGGGAUGGGGAUUGGCAAAAUCUCGUUAUUGAAGAAGAAGAUUGAAUCAUAUGACUGCUCAAUGAGAUGUGUUGCCACUGCCUGCCUCUUUGGAACGCCUAUUUCAGCGAACCAGGAUACAUUCCAAAUCAUUUGAAACGCUGGAGUUUCGUGUUCUGGCCUUCUGGGACGUGCAUCCCAGUUUGUGGUUCGGAGGGCAGGGCAGCGAAUUAGGUUGCAAUGACUCCAAUGUUGCUGAGAUGAAGGAAAUAGAGAAAGCUCUACAUCUUUUCUCCCCCAAACCUGACCUUAGCACAUUGGCUGCUGGUAUAUUUAUGGAGUCAGACUCUAGAGUUGCUCUUUCAUUGGUUAAUAAUCCGGAUCCGGCACCAUGGCAACUGUCAAUUCUAUCACUAUAUAUACUUUGCCCCCUGUUUCUUUUGUGCAUGACCCUAGAGAGGCUAAUUGCAUGGCUGACUUGCUUGCAAAACAGGGUCACCAGCGCUUUGAAGACUUUACUUUAUUGCUUUGAUCUCAGCUUCAUCGGGUGAUUUGAGAUGUGGUCAAGUUUGCUUUGUUUCUUGUGCUGUUGCUACCGACUUUUUGGCAUGAUUGUGUGUGGUGCUGCCUCAUUGUUGUCUUGUUUUUGGGUAUUUUUCAACUUGUUUUGGUUUUAUCCUUUUAGAUGUGUUGUUUUCAUAAUAUUGUUAAUGUUGGUCUAUUUGUUUUGGUGAUAGUUUCUUGGUCUGGCUGGUUGUUUUUCUGGUUUUGCUGCUAUUUUCGGCUCUGUUUUUCUGGUUUUGCUGCUAUUUUUGUGCUGGUUUUGUUCAAGUCUGUUGGCAAUGUUGCUUUUGGUGUUU